GUGGAAUGGCUUUGAUAGUGUCACUGGCUAGCAAAAUAGUGGGAAAACAUCUGACCCAAAUAUACACUGACAGAAUGAGGAAGAAAGCCAGGAAAAUCACUGCAGAUACACACCUUCUUUCCAGCC
Long non-coding RNA from Etheostoma spectabile (orangethroat darter), 126 nucleotides. RefSeq lists it as uncharacterized. Lineage: Eukaryota; Metazoa; Chordata; Actinopteri; Perciformes; Percidae. The record is from RefSeq and is a predicted model, not a curated record. The transcript is spliced from 3 exons.